CGAUUCGCCCUUGGGCGCCCAGGCGCGAAAACUUUACAAUGCGUUAAACCGUGAUAAGGGGACACCGAGUGCCAGCAUCAUAUGCUGGCUGUCCAGGUGUGUAAAAUACACCUGUUAGCAAGGGCCGGGCAAGACCGGUGCCAGCCGCCGCGGUAACACCGGCGGCCCGAGUGGUGAUCGUGAUUAUUGGGUCUAAAGGGUCCGUAGCCGGUUUGGUCAGUCCUCCGGGAAAUCUGACGGCUCAACCGUUAGGCUUUCGGGGGAUACUGCCAGGCUUGGAACCGGGAGAGGUAAGAGGUACUACAGGGGUAGGAGUGAAAUCUUGUAAUCCCUGUGAGACCACCUGUGGCGAAGGCGUCUUACCAGAACGGGUUCGACGGUGAGGGACGAAAGCUGGGGGCACGAACCGGAUUAGAUACCCGGGUAGUCCUAGCCGUAAACGAUACUCGCUAGGUGUCAGCCACGGUGCGACCGUGGUUGGUGCCGUAGGGAAGCCGUGAAGCGAGCCACCUGGGAAGUACGGCCGCAAGGCUGAAACUUAAAGGAAUUGGCGGGGGAGCAC
This 562-nucleotide ribosomal RNA is filed under the name uncultured archaeon. RNAcentral describes it as "bacterial SSU rRNA". It matches the Rfam family "Archaeal small subunit ribosomal RNA", at positions 314 to 879 of the family's 1478-position model. The record is from RNAcentral.